Camelus dromedarius (Arabian camel) is the source of this 421-nucleotide long non-coding RNA. RefSeq lists it as uncharacterized. The transcript has 3 exons. NCBI's taxonomy places the organism in Eukaryota, Metazoa, Chordata, Mammalia, Artiodactyla, Camelidae. The record is from RefSeq and is a predicted model, not a curated record.
AGGAAACACAUGGCUUUCUUCUUACAGCUUCAAACUCCGUCUUGCCAGCUGUGUUGAUUUCCCUCGGCGUGGCACUAAUGAAAGGAGACUUUGAUGAGCUGUGUGAAUGGUCACUCCAGAGGGAGGCAUGCAGAAAGACGCGGCUUUCUGGAAGGUUGUGGAUGAAGAAUGAAGGGAGCAGGACUGAGGAUGCAGGGAUCGCAGCCAGCCAACCACAGCAGGCAGCAUUAAACAAGGGGCCUCAUUUUUGCCUGAAGAGCGUAAUGAUGAGAAUUAUUUCGUCUUCAACAGAGAUUUUCCUACUUGGUUACCACGCAAUGUAAUACCUUGGAGUUGAAAAAUGAUACUCUCCUCUCCAAGAAAUGGAAGAGAGGGGAGAAGGCGCAGUCAUUCUGAGCUUCACUCUAAAGCAAUUAUGAGC